Molecule: non-coding RNA, 30 nt
Filed under: Callithrix jacchus (white-tufted-ear marmoset)
Lineage: Eukaryota; Metazoa; Chordata; Mammalia; Primates; Cebidae
Also listed under: 2 other names
Source: RNAcentral
UCCACAAGAAACCACACUGUUAUGGGAUCU